GGGAGUGACGUCAAAGUGUGUCGGGGACAGCGAGCGGAGACACGGAAAAGGUCAAACUAAAGGCGAGGAGGAGCGGCCGGGCCGGGCCGGGCCGAGCCUAGGCCGAGCCUAGGCCGAGCCGGGCCGGGCGGCUCCGCGGGACCCGCCGGCUGAGCGAGGGCGGCGGCCGCCAGCGGGGGGCCGUGCCGGGGCCGGGCGAGGCGAGGCGCGACAGCCCCCUCCGGGGCAGCCCCUCCGGCCCCCACGGCCGCCCCCCGCCGCCGCCUCCCCUCACAGAUUGGAGGAUCUUCUGAAUCUUACGCUUAAAGGAUGCCUUUGAAAAGACCUCAUUUUCUACAGGCAGCUCUGUCACCUUGGACCAGAGACACCAGCUACCUUGAAAGAAGAAAAGGCAGACUCUAGGCACGAGUUGGAAUACUCUUGAGGAUGACAUGGAGACAUGUCAUGCAGAGAUAAGUCAUAAUCCCAUGGCGCCAGUGACAGCAUAAAACAAAAUUGGAUAAAUAGCCGGGAAAAGGAUACAGUGUGCAUGACUUACAAGAUCGGGAGUGUUGCAUAGGUAUUGCAGCAACGCUUCGGUCCUGAAGCCCUUGCAGACACGGCCUCUGCAUGGAACCGCAAGGUACGUGAAGGUUCUGCUGGUCCUAGGACAAAGUUCCUCCAUCCAGAUGGGAUAUCAUAAAAUCCUUUUGUUUGAGCUGCAGCUUUUCUGCUAGAAAAAUAGUGUUGUUUAGAUGGUCGCAGCAGUCCCAUCAUUCUCCUUCUGCAGUCAGUGGGGAAGUCUGGACGCUUCUGAAGACCCUGAGAAGCUGUGGGCAGACAGGCUCUGAAGAAUUCAGCUGCAGGUUUCUUUCCCAUAUAUUAGCAUACUUGUCCAUACAGAGCCAGGAGAGGAAAGUGUGCCCCUGUCUCAGUCGCUACUGCUUGAAGUUGACUUCAAAUGCUAAUGAAAGUGGGUCGGGAGUUGCCUGUGAGCUGAGGACAUGGAAAGGUGCCAUCUCUGAUCCCCAGGAAUGGGAAAUUCUUUCCUUAAUUACCAUCUUAUGUAAAAAAUGUAGUUAAAAGAAUAGGGAUGGUGAAUGUUGUGCUUUCAGACUGCCUGAAUUCUGUGGUGAUUUUGUAUGAGAAGCAGAUGUCUUUGAUUUUAAAAAUAUUCAGUUCCAUGUAGCUGACAGACAGCUGUCAGUUUAUAACUAACAGUGAUAUUUUUUUUACUGGAAAAGGUCGUCUUUCUGUAAACAGGAGAGACUAACCACCUCUUACUUGUUUAUGAGGAAAUCCCUAUUACUAUUCCCGUUUCCUUCUCUGGGACACAGUAAUGCAUGUGUACUGUUUCUUGUAAUUUUAAAACAUUUUUAGUAAGGAAGCAGUGAGUUCUGAACAAACUUAGGGUUGCCUUACCCACUGAGCUGGAUGGGUAGAUGAAGGCGUAUCAUGUUCUAUUUAAGGUUACUGGGGGGGAAAAAAACCACCAGUGGUAGAUAAAGUCUGAUACGUGCAUUUUAGUAGCACAAAUAAAGUGUAUGUGGGUACUUGGGUGUGCAUGUAAAAAAAAAAUAUAUGUAUUAUUUAAUUGGAGGAACUAAAAUUAUUUAGGUAGGGAGUGGUGGUGAUUCCCACUUUCCUAGGAGGGAGGUACGAAGUAUUUAAUGACAAGCUAAUCUUGCAGAAAACUGAUGAGGAUUAAGAACGGAGCAGCAGUCUGCUGAAGCCAAACGUGAUGCAAUGGCGAAUCAAAUCGAAAUCAUACAAAUCACGUAGGAACUGUCAAAUUUGUACGGUUUGCAGUUUGGGUAAAUCUUGGCUGUCAGAUUCCUACUGUAGAGUUAAAUCAAAGCCAGCAUGGUUGGUGCUGUUUUUCCUCUCUGCUCUCCUAUAAAUAGCUCGCUGUUCAGGGAGAGCUGUGGCAACUUUCCCAGCGGGAAUACGGUAACAAAGAUGUCCGUCUUCUACACCUGUCUCUGUGCCUUUUUCAGUUCCACUGUCUCUUAGUGGUAUUGAGAAUGUGCUAUUCGUACUCGGAAUUUACUUUUUCUAUUUGGCACACCUUUUUUUUGAGGUGAAGAGAAUGAAAUCAGGGUGCUGUUUGGAUGUUGCACUGUAUAUUUUUUUAUACAUCACAAAUAAAAUUAAUCUUCUAUUUUGAUAGUGCUACAUUUUUAAAAGCUUCUGGCAAAGUUUGCUUCCUCACAUACGCUUCUAUCUCAGCCCAGCUGCACGGCAUUCAUUUUGUACUAGACUAAAGGAACAGCACAUAACAUUUCUUCUUAACUUUCAUUUUUAAAAUAUCAUUUCUUGUCUCCCAGGAGCCUGUACGAGAACGCAAUCCCCAAAGUCCUUAAAAGAACAAGCAAAACCACCGCUGAAAUCUGCGCAGUGUUCCAGCUGUGCUGCCGUCUCUGGAUUGUCUGACAUCACCUCGCAGAGGAAAAACGCGCUGUACAGUUGAAAUAGGAUUAAACAGUAUAAACCUGCAAGCAGAAAUGUGAUUAAUACAGGGUAUUUCUAAGUCCUCCAAUUAUUAUAUUGCUACACUGAGAAAGGCAGAAUCUGUUUAUUAGAAGUGAUUUUAGUACGUAUAUAUUUUUUUUCUGAAGUUAUUUAUAAUUGUUGCCUUUCAGGCCUGCAGGAGAUAAUUUUUAAAUUAACUGUGCAGCGUAACCAGUAUCUGUAGACUAUAGAAUCCUGAGAUGGCGAGAAUUAUGAUAAGCCUCAUACUAAGCUCUGGAGAGAUUUGUAAAUGUGCAGUUUGCACUGCCCCAUUUUUAUUAGCAUUUUCAUUAUAAAGUUAUUACUGGAAGCAAUAAAGUUAAUGUUCUGUAACAAGAAAACAGCAAUUAUGCAGUCCUAAACACAGAACUCCACAUUAAAAAUAGCAGAUAAAAAUUACAGAUACAGUUACUCCAGACAGAUACAAAAAAAAAUAUUUAAGUGUUUACAGUAAAGCAAUGACAACUUGUCUUAAGCAUAAAGCUAGUUGCAAAACAACCUCCUAUAACUUCUGAGCAUUCACCUCCUUUGCGUUGUUAAGCAGGGCUUCCAAAAGUGCACAGCAUCACCUGGAGUUGUUUUCUCUUUGAAAUCGAUGAGAAAAUAAAAGCGAGGUAAAAAAAUCUGUGCUGAAUAGCGUUGAAGACACCUCUUCGACCUGCAGUGUGGUGGUCUGACUUCUGCCACACAGAUGAUCAAACUGGUGGAAUGGGGAUAAGGGGGAGUAUUAUUCACAAGAAGGUGAAGUUGCUUUAAGCACCUAAUGCUUUUGUUUAAUAUAGUGCUUUGAGUUUCUCUUUGGAGGAAUCCAUGUUUUUAUUCAGAUUUUUUUAAAUAAACAUUAAAUUAUAUACCUGGUAUACCCUAAAUUAUAUAUUUAAAAUACUUUGAGAAUGCUCUGCUUCAUGUCCUCUCCCAGAAUCUGCCUUAAAGGGACACUGCUGAACACCACCACAGCUGUAAACAUGGCUAGAGUUUUCCCUUAGUGGAAAACAACUUGCAGAUCCCAGGAAGAACUACUUAAUUACUGACCAAACUUUAGUCUUUGCUCUCAUUAAAUAAACAAUGGUCCUUUUAGUUUUAAAAUAAACAAAACCCGUUCCCUACAUGGCGAUACAGGUCCCUGAGUUGGAGGCGAAGGUGAUGGACUCAGACUGUCUCACAUGCAGCAAAGUGUGUAUCUACCGCAGCAUUCCUUGCAUGAAUAAAGAACCCCAACAGAUGUUUUGGGUUGGUUUCUUCAAUUCCACAGCAAGCGUACACAAAAUUGAAGAUUUUUUUUUUAAUCUAUUACAGUAUUUGGUUUGUCAUAUCUGAGUUCUGCACAUCUGUUAGAAUGUUUUAUCCAUUUGACUUCAUAAAAUGCUAAAGGAUUUUUUUCUUAAAUAUACUGGUAUGAUACAAAUCAGUAAGGUUGGAAAAUGAAGCACUGGAAGCUCAUUAAGUGUCAAAGUCAAGGCUGCCGGUGUCCUUCUGUGUUUAUCCUCUUGCUGAUAUUGUUUGUUACAGAUCCUUAGGUCUGUGAUCACAUAAUUUAUUAGUUUCUCUCACAGGACUACUGCUUCAUUUAGGCGAUUACACAGUGCUUGG
Molecule: non-coding RNA, 4080 nt
Organism: Phalacrocorax carbo (great cormorant)
Lineage: Eukaryota; Metazoa; Chordata; Aves; Suliformes; Phalacrocoracidae
Source: RefSeq, a predicted model, not a curated record